RNAcentral lists this ribosomal RNA (407 nucleotides) under uncultured bacterium. Its description in RNAcentral is "partial 16S ribosomal RNA". It matches the Rfam family "Bacterial small subunit ribosomal RNA", at positions 28 to 526 of the family's 1533-position model. The record is from RNAcentral.
GACGAACGCUGGCGGCGUGCCUAAUACAUGCAAGUAGGACGCAGUUGCGAACGGGUGAGUAACGCGUAGGUAAAUGCCUAUUAGAGGGGGAUAACUAUUGGAAACGAUAGCUAAUACCGCAUAGUAGUAGAUGGACCUGCGUUUUAUUAGCUAGUAGGUAGGGUAAUGGCCUACCUAGGCAAAGAUACAUAGCCGAGCUGAGGGUGUGAUCGGGCCCAAUGGGACUGGUGCACGGCCCAGAAUUCGUACGGAGGCAGCAAGAGGGGAUCUGCGGACAUGGGGGGAACCCUGAACGCGUACAGCCGGGUGAGUGAAGGAGGUUUUCGGGUCGUAAAGCCCUGUUGUUAAGGAAGCGGUACUUAACGAGAAAGGGACGGCUAACUACGUGCCAGCAGCCGCGGUAAUAC